This 464-nucleotide ribosomal RNA is filed under the name uncultured bacterium. RNAcentral's name for it is "bacterial SSU rRNA". It matches the Rfam family "Bacterial small subunit ribosomal RNA", at positions 8 to 518 of the family's 1533-position model. The record is from RNAcentral.
AGGGUUCGAUUCUGGCUCAGAACGAACGCUGGCGGCAGGCCUAACACAUGCAAGUCGAGCGCGCCCUUCGGGGUGAGCGGCGGACGGGUUAGUAACGCGUGGGAACGUACCCUUUGGUAGGGAAUAGCCACUGGAAACGGUGAGUAAUACCCUAUGAGCCCUUCGGGGGAAAGAUUUAUCGCCAAAGGAUCGGCCCGCGUUAGAUUAGGUAGUUGGUGGGGUAAUGGCCUACCAAGCCUACGAUCUAUAGCUGGUUUUAGAGGAUGAUCAGCGACACUGGGACUGAGACACGGCCCAGACUCCUACGGGAGGCAGCAGUGGGGAAUCUUGGACAAUGGGGGCAACCCUGAUCCAGCCAUGCCGCGUGAGUGAAGAAGGCCUUAGGGUCGUAAAGCUCUUUCGCCUGUGAAGAUAAUGACGGUAGCGGGUAAAGAAACCCCGGCUAACUCCGUGCCAGCCGCCGC